AAGUCGUAACAAGGUUUUCGUAGGUGAACCUGCGGAAGGAUCAUUAGUGAAUUUACAAAAGUGGAUGGGAGUCCCUCUUAACCGGAGAAGGCCCAUUCCGUCUUUUCACUUCUCAUUUCAAACCCUAGUGCAUCUGUCCCCUUUUUACCUUUAACCCUUUCUGCAUUCGAAAAGGUUGUUGUGAUUAUACAUUUUUGAUAAAUUGAAAGAAAAACUUUCAGCAAUGGAUCUCUUGGCUCUC
This 241-nucleotide unclassified non-coding RNA is filed under the name air metagenome. RNAcentral describes it as "partial contains small subunit ribosomal RNA, internal transcribed spacer 1, and 5.8S ribosomal RNA". The stretch from base 1 to 46 matches the Rfam family "Eukaryotic small subunit ribosomal RNA", at positions 1786 to 1831 of the family's 1831-position model. The record is from RNAcentral.